ACAGUGUCCAUGGGUCUUGAUUGUGACUCGGUCCAACCAGCAUCACUCCACUUCGAACAUAAAUCGGCCCAAUCCGACCUCCUAAUAUUUCGAACGUGACUCGGCCGAACACUAGCUACCGCUCGCCACAUGACAGAAUGCUGAUCUUUUUAUGCCAACAAAAAUGGUAGAGGAAGGACAGGAAGAAAAAGGAGGGAGACGGGCCGAGGAGAAAGACAAAGAAGAGAGAAAAAAAAAAGGAAAGAGAAAAAUAAAUAAAAGUAUUUUAGUUAGUUUACUAAAAUUUCUGGCUGGAUUUAUAAAAUUCAAAAU
Molecule: long non-coding RNA, 312 nt
Filed under: Ananas comosus (pineapple)
Lineage: Eukaryota; Viridiplantae; Streptophyta; Magnoliopsida; Poales; Bromeliaceae
Description: long non-coding RNA (ACOM_LNC009936)
Source: RNAcentral